This 253-nucleotide ribosomal RNA is filed under the name uncultured bacterium. RNAcentral's name for it is "partial 16S ribosomal RNA". It matches the Rfam family "Bacterial small subunit ribosomal RNA", at positions 524 to 776 of the family's 1533-position model. The record is from RNAcentral.
UACAGAGGUCCCAAGCGUUGUUCGGAUUCACUGGGCGUAAAGGGUGCGUAGGCGGUCGGAUAAGUCUGACGUGAAAUCCUGGAGCUCAACUCCGGAACUGCGUCGGAAACUAUUCGGCUAGAGGAUUGGAGAGGGGACUGGAAUUCUCGGUGUAGCAGUGAAAUGCGUAGAUAUCGAGAGGAACACCCGUGGCGAAGGCGAGUCCCUGGACAAUUCCUGACGCUGAGGCACGAAAGCUAGGGGAGCAAACAGG